This 29-nucleotide small RNA is filed under the name Bombyx mori (domestic silkworm). Its description in RNAcentral is "ovarian small RNA-29236". Lineage: Eukaryota; Metazoa; Arthropoda; Insecta; Lepidoptera; Bombycidae. The record is from RNAcentral.
UCGUCGACAGUCUCGUUUCUAUGCGAAGU